Molecule: RNA transcript, 1819 nt
Organism: Juglans regia (Persian walnut)
Lineage: Eukaryota; Viridiplantae; Streptophyta; Magnoliopsida; Fagales; Juglandaceae
Exons: 4
Source: RefSeq, a predicted model, not a curated record
GAAAAAACCCAAAAUUGAACCGUCCAAUUCGUUUUCUCUGAACCAAGAGUCUGUGCUCGCCGCGGUGGACCAAGCCGGUCUCGCCCCCGUCGCCUUCUUCACGGCUCCGUCGCCUUCUUUACAGCUCCGAAAGCACACUGGUCACUGAGCAAGGAAGUGAGCAAAGUAAAUAAACUCAUAGAUGUCGUGCCCUCUCUAAACCCACACAAGACCCACCUGCGCCCAAUCGUAGGUUAUUCCGAGGAAAGUGAUUCAAUUGUUGAUUUGGAAAGUGGUGAGACCACAAGCGAAGAAGAUGGAAUUGAAGACUUGGAUGUGGGUGGUAAGCAUGCAAAGAAAAUGUUGAGUAGGCUGAGGAGUGGAUGUAUUAGUUUUGAUGGAUCAGUGGGGGAUAUUGAUGGAUUAGAUUCAACAAAGAUUGUAUUACAGCCUGAUGAGAAUUUGGAGAUAUUGGAAGGUGAGGUGGAAGGAAAGGCAGCGGGUAUGGUGAAGAUGAAAAUGGCAAGUGAGAAAAGGAAAAAGGCGAGCUCUAAGAAGCCUCCCAAGCCACCCCGUCCUCCUACUGGUCCGUUAUUGGAUGCAGCAGAUAUGAAGUUGGUCAGAGAAAUUUCUGAGCUUGCAAGAUUGAGGCGUGCAAGGAUUGAACGAAGGAAGGAAGUGAAAAAAAUGAGAGCAGAUAAAGCAUCAUCUUCAAACGAUAACCUUGUUGCAUUGGUCAUCACCAUGCUCUUCUUCUUUGUGAUAAUCUUCCAAGGUAUAUUGGGCUUUCGAAUGUGAUGCCUCAAGAUGUGGUCGUCUUCAGAUUUCACCAAGUAGAUUCCUGUACAUCUGCUUGUUGUCCUUUUUCUCCCCUUAUCAUUGUUUCGGUUUGGCUUUGCAAUUUAUGUUAUAAUUAUAUUCCAUGUUUGAUAAUAUAUCAGAUUACUUACUUGAUCUGAUGUGAUAAAUAGCAAUGCUACUUUGUUUCCAGUUUUCUUAUUUUGCUAAGACGUGUGCAAAUAUUUGUAAUUAUUUGUUAGUUAGCUGCAAAAGUACCAUGCUUAUUAUACAGGCAAGUGAUUGUAGACAAUAUAAUGGGAUUACCAAACAAGGAGAAAUAUAAGAACAAUGCUCUCUCUGUCCCUCUCUCUCUCUCUCUCUGACUGUUUAUCUAUCUGUCUCUCUCUUUGAAUUAUCAAAUUCUAUAUGCAAGUUUAUUUUGUAAUUUGAGUUAUAAAAUGCAGGAGUUUGCUUUAGAAGUGUUCAAGUAUUAGUCUCCACAUAUCCAAAGUCCGCAAUGAUAGUAGUUGGUGGUGAGAUUCAAGUUGAAUAGUCUAACACCCUUCUGCUAGGGGACCAAUGGACCUGAUUCUUGGAUCCCCAAGAUCUGAUGAAAAUCUGGAUCCUGAAUUGUCCAUGUGUGGCAAAGUUAUCAAUCUUUGGUUUCACGGAAUAUAGCCAGUUUGGUCACAGUUAAUGUUAUCAUUCCCAUGGGGCACAAAGCACAUAGAGCUGGAUUCAAAUGGACUCUGGUGCAGGCUCGCGGCUUCAUCUAAUGGUGAAUAUGGCUGUUCAAAGUUCUAUUGUCCUGUGGCCAGACAUGGAGGAAAGAGGAACUUUUUCCCCCAUUGUCCCCUCUGAUAAGAGAAUGUAAUAUCAGCAGAAACUAUUAUGAUGACAUUUCUUUUACAUACAAAAAAUAUCAUCAAAAACUAUAUUAUGUAUAGAUGAUAUGAAUUUUGUUGGGAACUUCAAUUUAUUUUUCUUCCAUUGUCCACAAUGAUAAGAGAAUGUAAUAGCAUCAUUAUAUGAUUUAUGCAUAAAGCAUGUGGCAUGUGGC